AAUGAAACAAGGUGAAACUUUGCUUUGAAUUUUCUUUUUGAAAAUGUCUUAUAAACUCACAGUAUCAUGUAAGUAAUCACAUUCGUCCGUUUUCAUUUUAAUUACAAGAGCUUUCUGUCUUUAAAAAAAUAAAUCUUUAAAAGAAUUUAAAUUUGAUGUUGCUUAUACUUCUUCUCUUCCAUUGCUCAGAAAUGAUUCAUACUGCAUGUUGUUUGAACUAUAAUCAAUCAUUUAUUACACUCACAACUGUACUUAUUUUCUCAAGCAUUUCAUCUUUAAAGAAAUAAUACACUAUGCAUUAUGUUCUCAUGUUCAUCACCUCCCCAGAACCAGGAACCAUCCACUCAUGUUCAACUUAAUAUGAAAAUGUGCACUUCUCAGGUCUAAUAUUAACCGAGUGGAGAAGUGAAACCUUGCAGCGUCAUGAGAAGCCAUGUGAACUCUCUGUGAAAACAUGUAAAGUGAUAUGAGACAUUCAAAUGUGUGCUCUGCUUCUCUAACUGACUCCUCACACCUGGUGUCAGUGAUGCACUGUUGCUCUUUGCACUGUUUCACUUCUGUAUUUUGGUCCUUUUUUGGGACCCGGGUGUUACUCAAUGCUUCCGCUUGCUGCUGGCUCUGAUCCCUCUGCCCUGCCAUGCUGCAUCUGUGCAACAGCCCUGUGUCCACCUGACUAUGAGACACCACACCCUGUACAAGUAGCACUCUGCCAUCUAGCCUACAUACAGAGAUACCAUGUUUAGAAUUAAGACAACACAGGUUACCUGACCAAGACCUUAAGGACAGCGGGUUGUCUCUCCAAACGUCACGUUACACCCAGUUUGGCAGGGUGAAUUCGGGAAGUCACCAAUCAGACUCAUCUGCAACAUUCAAGGCUUCUUUCCAGACCAACUGAGUGUGGAGUGGAAGCAGGAAAACAAAGCUCUAAACGUUGUUCAAACCCAAACCAAGCUUCAGAGUGUGGAGGGAGAGGAGAAAACCUUCAGUCUGAGCAGUGAGAUUGAGCCAGAUAUGACUGAGUGGGCACAGGGCUCAAGUUUUACGUGCACAUCUGUUCACAUCAAUCAGAGGUUCAUGAAGACCACAAGUAUUUGUCAAUAUCAAGCAGCAGCCCCUCCUUCCAUCGACGUGGAGAUUCCCAGCUUCAAGAAAGUCAUGACGGAAGAAUCUCCCCUAAAAGCAAUAUGUUUUGUCCACACUGCUCUUAAGGCCAAGGUGACGUGGCUGCUGAAUGAGGGAGACCCAGCGGGUGGCACCGUGACACAGGACACCAACGCAACUCAUUCAGUCAGUGAACUGACGCUUCCUUCAAGUCGAUGGAAACAACUCAAGUCGAUAACAUGUCAAGCUGACCACAAGUGCUUCUCCUCUACUAAGAAGACUGUGCAAAUUGCAGAGCCUGCAGUUACAGAUCCAUUGAUUGAGAUCAGGAGAUCUCUGAAAGAUCUGCUGAAAGGAGACAGCGCUGUGCUGGAGUGUGAUGUCACGACACUCUGGUCACGUGACCUGUACAUCACCUUUCAAGGCAACGGUGUUGACAUCUCCGACAAACAGUAUGUUGAACUUCCUGCAGCCUCGGGCCUCCUUUCAGUCAGUAGAAGAUUCUCUGUCCCAUUAAGUGAGUUGAAGAAAGACGCAAGUUUCACCUGCAAAGUGAAUCAAGGAUUCUCCAACAGCUUUGAGUCAAACUCCACAGGCAGUUUCUUUGUAGAGCCAUCGAUGGCACUUCUUCUGGCCCCCGGUGAAGACUCAGGACCACAGAGACUCCUGUGCUUUGCUUGGGGCUUCAACCCUCAAGUGAAGUGGUCUUCAGAGUCCGAGCACAGACCUCCAUCAACUAAUGACGUCAGCAUGGGUGAAGAUGGACGCGUGGCGGUGACCAGUCAUCUCCACGUCCCUCAAACAGAGUGGAGAACAGGGAAGGUCUUCACGUGUGAAGUAUCUGACAAGUCUCUGAACGCAAGUGUGAGGAAGCACAUCAGCCUCUGCUCAGUAACUCCUGCAUCAUCUCAGAUAGUCGGCGUCUACGUUCAGGGACCAGCAGCAGAAGAGCUUCUGAACAAGGAACAGGUGACUAUCACCUGUCUUCUGGUCGGUCCUUCUCUCAAUGAUUUCUCCGUGACCUGGAAAGUAGGUGAGAACAAUCAUUCCCACGAUGGCCAUGAGGAUUCUCCAGUGAGUCACAGCAACGGUACAGAAACUGUGCAGAGCUUCUUCAAUGUGUCAGCGGCGGAUUGGAAUGGAUUCAAACAAGUGUCUUGUGAGGCAAAGCACCGAUGCUCCAAACUGGGCCACGAGGAUCAAAUAACCAAAAGCAGAGAGCUGCAUCCACCAACAGUGAAGAUAACACCACCCACUGUGGAUGACCUUUCUACCUCCGACCCCCUUGCAAUUAUUUGCCAAGUCUCUGGAUUCUUCCCGUCUGGUAUCCGAGUGUACUGGGAGGAGGAGGGCCAGAGACUGCCUCCGACUCACUUCACCAACAGUCCAACAUGGAAAUACACCGGGAGCAGCACGUAUUCCAUGAUCAGCAGACUGAACGUCUCAAAAACCAACAACAAGGAGUCUACGUAUUCUUGUGUUGUCAGACACGAGUCAUCGGAAACGCCUUUUGAAAGCACUAUAAAGGACGUCUUUGCCACAGUGACCCACAGCAAACCCUCAGCGACCUUGCUCCAGGGCUCCGGUGAGCUUGUGUGUCUGGUCUUUGGCUUCAGCCCUGCAACCAUUAACAUCACUUGGUUUCUUGAUGACACCAAGGGACUGUUGGACUACACCACUAGUGAACCCCACAGAGGCCCAGAUGGAACGUUCAACAUUCAAAGCCACCUAAAUGUGUCCCGAGUCAUAUGGUUACCUGGCGCCAACAUCACCUGCAGGGUGACACAUGCAAACAUCACCCUGUCCCUGGAUGUCUCUAAACCAGACUCCUUGAAGGACUGUCAUUUCUUCGAUGACAUCAUGCAUGCUGAAGUGAACCAGGACACAGGUGUGGAAAGCUGGUAUUUUGGGUUCACUUUCCUGGUUCUUUUCCUCACCUCCUUUAUCUACGGUGUCUCUGCCACCAUGAUUAAGGUAAGAAACAACAGUACUGCAAUGUUAUUCUAAAGUCAUC
This is a non-coding RNA of Pungitius pungitius (ninespine stickleback), 3115 nucleotides long. NCBI's taxonomy places the organism in Eukaryota, Metazoa, Chordata, Actinopteri, Perciformes, Gasterosteidae. The record is from the annotation of a RefSeq genome assembly.